UGAGGAAUAUUGCACAAUGGGCGCAAGCCUGAUGCAGCAACGCCGCGUGAACGAUGAAGGUCUUCGGAUCGUAAAGUUCUGUUGCAGGGGAAGAUAAUGACGGUACCCUGUGAGGAAGCCCCGGCUAACUACGUGCCAGCAGCCGCGGUAAUACGUAGGGGGCUAGCGUUAUCCGGAUUUACUGGGCGUAAAGGGUGCGUAGGUGGUCUUUCAAGUCGAUGGUUAAAGGCUACGGCUCAACCGUAGUUAGCCUCCGAAACUGGAAGACUUGAGUGCAGGAGAGGAAAGUGGAAUUCCCAGUGUAGCGGUGAAAUGCGUAGAUAUUGGGAGGAACACCAGUAGCGAAGGCGGCUUUCUGGACUGCAACUGACACUGAGGCACGAAAGCGUGGGUAGCAAACAGG
Molecule: ribosomal RNA, 403 nt
Filed under: Verrucomicrobiota bacterium
Lineage: Bacteria; Pseudomonadati; Verrucomicrobiota
Description: Verrucomicrobia bacterium partial 16S ribosomal RNA
Rfam family: Bacterial small subunit ribosomal RNA
Source: RNAcentral